AUACGUAGGUGGCAAGCGUUAUCCGGAUUUACUGGGUGUAAAGGGCGUGUAGGCGGGGUUGCAAGGUGGAUGUGAAAUCCUCAGGCUUAACCUGAGAGGGUCAUCCAAAACUGCAGAUCUUGAGUACUGGAGAGGAUAGUGGAAAUCCUAGUGUAGAGGUAAAAUGCGUAGAUAUUAGGAGGAACACCAGUGGCGAAGGCGACUAUCUGGACAGUAACUGACGCUGAGGCGCGAAAGCGUGGGGAGCAAACAGGAUUAGAUACCCUGGUAGUCCACGCGGUAAACGAUGAAUACUAGGUGUCGGGGGGCGAAGCUCUUCGGUGCCGAAAGCAAACGCAGUAAGUAUUCCACCUGGGGAGUACGUUCGCAAGAAUGAAACUCAAAUGAAUUGGCGGGG
Molecule: ribosomal RNA, 397 nt
Filed under: uncultured bacterium
Lineage: Bacteria
Description: partial 16S ribosomal RNA
Rfam family: Bacterial small subunit ribosomal RNA
Source: RNAcentral